Non-coding RNA from Salmo salar (Atlantic salmon), 54 nucleotides. The record is from Rfam. Lineage: Eukaryota; Metazoa; Chordata; Actinopteri; Salmoniformes; Salmonidae.
UGCAGGAAUUACUGUAAGUCACUUUGGAUAAAAGUAUCUGCUAAAUAGUAUAAA